GAUGAACGCUGGCGGCGUGCCUAAUACAUGCAAGUCGAGCGAACAGACGAGGAGCUUGCUCCUCUGACGUUAGCGGCGGACGGGUGAGUAACACGUGGAUAACCUACCUAUAAGACUGGGAUAACUUCGGGAAACCGGAGCUAAUACCGGAUAAUAUAUUGAACCGCAUGGUUCAAUAGUGAAAGACGGUUUUGCUGUCACUUAUAGAUGGAUCCGCGCCGCAUUAGCUAGUUGGUAAGGUAACGGCUUACCAAGGCAACGAUGCGUAGCCGACCUGAGAGGGUGAGCGGCCACACUGGAACUGAGACACGGACCAGACUCCUACGGGAGGCAGCAGUAGGGAAUCUUCCGCAAUGGGCGAAAGCCUGACGGAGCAACGCCGCGUGAGUGAUGAAGGUCUUCGGAUCGUAAAACUCUGUUAUUAGGGAAGAACAAAUGUGUAAGUAACUAUGCACGUCUUGACGGUACCUAAUCAGAAAGCCACGGCUAACUACGUG
This 497-nucleotide ribosomal RNA is filed under the name uncultured bacterium. Its description in RNAcentral is "partial 16S ribosomal RNA". It matches the Rfam family "Bacterial small subunit ribosomal RNA", at positions 28 to 507 of the family's 1533-position model. The record is from RNAcentral.